UCGAGUUAGGGUCCUCUGGGCCCGACCUCCAACCCUUUGCUUACCGUACCUCUUGUUGCUUCGGCGGGCCCGUCUCCCUAUAAUAGGGGCUGACCGCCGGAGGGUUCACACCCUCUGGCCCGCGCCCGUCGGUGGCCUCAACCAAAACUAUUGUUAAAAACGUGUCGUCUGAAUUGAGAAAUCAAUAACUAA
RNAcentral lists this unclassified non-coding RNA (192 nucleotides) under uncultured Herpotrichiellaceae. Its description in RNAcentral is "sequence contains ITS1". Lineage: Eukaryota; Fungi; Ascomycota; Eurotiomycetes; Chaetothyriales; Herpotrichiellaceae. The record is from RNAcentral.